GGAGCAGUUUAGACGAUCGCCGGAUCAUUUUUUUGAUUCAGAGGAAAGUCCGAACACUGCAGGGCAGGGUGCUCCAUAACAUGGAGUCGCGGUAACGUGAAGGAAAGUGCAACAGAAAGUAUACCGCCUGUUACUUGAUUUUCAUCCAAUGGAAAUUAAGUGGCCGGUAAGGGUGAAAAGGUGCGGUAAGAGCGCACCAGUUUCCCGGGUGACCGUGGAAGCUCGGCAAACCCCACCCAGUGCAAGACCAAAUAGAGGAGCGUUUGAGGAUGGCCCGUCCAAGCUCCCGGGUAGGUCGCAAGAGAUGUCUGGCAACCGACAUUCUUAGAUGAAUGAUCGUUGCCCUGUCCGGGGUAACCCGAACCGGGUACAGAAUUCGGCUUAUAAGCCGCUCCGGCC
Molecule: RNase P RNA, 399 nt
Filed under: Candidatus Desulfaltia sp.
Lineage: Bacteria; Pseudomonadati; Thermodesulfobacteriota; Desulfobacteria; Desulfobacterales
Description: RNase P RNA component class A
Rfam family: Bacterial RNase P class A
About the family: Ribonuclease P (RNase P) is a ubiquitous endoribonuclease, found in archaea, bacteria and eukarya as well as chloroplasts and mitochondria.
Source: RNAcentral